UACGUAGGGGGCGAGCGUUGUCCGGAAUUAUUGGGCGUAAAGCGCGCGCAGGCGGUCCUUUAAGUCAGGCGUUUAAGCCCGGGGCUCAACCCCGGUACGCGCCUGAAACUGGGGGACUUGAGUGCAGGAGAGGAGAGCGGAAUUCCACGUGUAGCGGUGAAAUGCGUAGAGAUGUGGAGGAACACCAGUGGCGAAGGCGGCUCUCUGGUCUGUAACUGACGCUGAGGCGCGAAAGCGUGGGGAGCAAACAGG
This 252-nucleotide ribosomal RNA is filed under the name uncultured bacterium. Its description in RNAcentral is "partial 16S ribosomal RNA". It matches the Rfam family "Bacterial small subunit ribosomal RNA", at positions 524 to 776 of the family's 1533-position model. The record is from RNAcentral.